GAUGAACGCUGGCGGCGUGCCUAAUACAUGCAAGUCGAGCGAACAGACGAGGAGCUUGCUCCUCUGACGUUAGCGGCGGACGGGUGAGUAACACGUGGAUAACCUACCUAUAAGACUGGGAUAACUUCGGGAAACCGGAGCUAAUACCGGAUAAUAUAUUGAACCGCAUGGUUCAAUAGUGAAAGACGGUUUUGCUGUCACUUAUAGAUGGAUCCGCGCCGCAUUAGCUAGUUGGUAAGGUAACGGCUUACCAAGGCAACGAUGCGUAGCCGACCUGAGAGGGUGAUCGGCCACCCUGGAUCUGAGACACGGUCCACACUCCUACGGUAGGCAGCAGUAGGGAAUCUUCCGCAAUGGGCGAAAGCCUGACGGUGCAACGCCGCGUGAGUGAUGAAGGUCUUCGGAUCGUAAAACUCUGUUAUUAGGGAAGAACAAAUGUGUAAGUAACUAUGCACGUCUUGACGGUACCUAAUCAGAAAGCCCCGGCUAACUACGUG
Molecule: ribosomal RNA, 497 nt
Filed under: uncultured bacterium
Lineage: Bacteria
Description: partial 16S ribosomal RNA
Rfam family: Bacterial small subunit ribosomal RNA
Source: RNAcentral